RNAcentral lists this transfer RNA (83 nucleotides) under Schistocephalus solidus. It matches the Rfam family "tRNA". From Rfam's summary of the family: Transfer RNA (tRNA) molecules are approximately 80 nucleotides in length. Their secondary structure includes four short double-helical elements and three loops (D, anti-codon, and T loops). Lineage: Eukaryota; Metazoa; Platyhelminthes; Cestoda; Diphyllobothriidea; Diphyllobothriidae. The record is from Rfam by way of RNAcentral.
GGUCACGUAGCCCAGGUGGGUAGAGCGUUGGCUGUACUAAAGCCUUCCCCUUGCUUUUGUGGGUUCGAAUCCCACCAAGACCA